AGCUUAGUGGCACAACACACAACCAUGUCAUGUUUAUGCAGGUCAGAAAUUUGGACAGGGCACAGCUCAGGGGAGUUGGUCUCUGCUCCCUGAAGUCUGGAGCUUCUGCAAGCGAGGCCCAAACAGCUGAGAGUGCAGCUUGGAGUGAUCCUCUCACCCAUGUUCCCAGGAUUAGUCUAGGAAUGAGGUUGUGCUGGACAAGGCAGGCUGCGAUCUCUCAUUGUCAUGAUUCCUGGACGUUUCUUGGAGCAGGAAAAGGAGGAUAAAGCCAUCUAUGGCCUCGGGAGCCGAGGGCAGUCUGAUCAGGAUCAGAAAUAUUUUUAAAAGCCCCAUUUUCUCCUUGGGGCCCCGCACUGACUUCCCAGGAUGCUGAAUGUAGGACUCCAGGAGGCCUGAUUCCCCAAGAGAUGGGCCACAGAGCCAUGGGACAA
RNAcentral lists this long non-coding RNA (431 nucleotides) under Canis lupus familiaris (dog). RNAcentral describes it as "lncRNA (ENSCAFG00000054434.1, ENSCAFG00805000407.1)". The record is from RNAcentral. Lineage: Eukaryota; Metazoa; Chordata; Mammalia; Carnivora; Canidae.